CAGCUCCAAUAGCGUAUAUUAAAAUUGUUGCAGUUAAAAAGCUCGUAGUUGAAUUUCUGCUGCAUCCGUGUCAUUCCUAACUGGUUUGUCACUGUUGUGGCUUUUUCUGGUGGUUGUGCUUCGGCUARAUCUCCAGAUUGUUACUUUGAGAAAAUUAGAGUGCUUCAAGCAGGCUUUUGCCUUGAAUACUUUAGCAUGGAAUAACUAAGUAGGACUUUGGUUCUAUUUUGUUGGUUUAAGAGCCAAAGUAAUGAUUAAUAGGAACAGUUGGGGGCAUUCGUAUUUAACUGUCAGAGGUGAAAUUCUU
RNAcentral lists this ribosomal RNA (307 nucleotides) under Cytauxzoon sp. RNAcentral describes it as "SSU rRNA". Lineage: Eukaryota; Apicomplexa; Aconoidasida; Piroplasmida; Theileriidae. The record is from RNAcentral.